Molecule: ribosomal RNA, 432 nt
Filed under: uncultured bacterium
Lineage: Bacteria
Description: bacterial SSU rRNA
Rfam family: Bacterial small subunit ribosomal RNA
Source: RNAcentral
UCGAGAAUCUUCGGCAAUGGGCGCAAGCCUGACCGAGCGACGCCGCGUGGAGGAUGAAGGCCUUCGGGUUGUAAACUCCUGUCGAGGGGGAGGAAGGCGCAAGCUUGACCUAUCCCUGGAGGAAGCACGGGCUAAGUUCGUGCCAGCAGCCGCGGUAAGACGAACCGUGCGAACGUUAUUCGGAAUCACUGGGCUUAAAGCGCGUGUAGGCGGAUGGGGACGUCGGUUGCUGAAAUCCCCCGGCUCAACCGGGGAACGGGCGCCGAAACGCCCCGUCUGGAGGGACGUAGGGGGACCUGGAACUUCCGGUGGAGCGGUGAAAUGCGUUGAGAUCGGAAGGAACGCCCGUGGCGAAAGCGAGGUCCUGGACGUUUUCUGACGCUGAGACGCGAAAGCUAGGGUAGCGAACGGGAUUAGAUACCCCCGUAGUCC